This 452-nucleotide unclassified non-coding RNA is filed under the name Hevea brasiliensis (rubber tree). Lineage: Eukaryota; Viridiplantae; Streptophyta; Magnoliopsida; Malpighiales; Euphorbiaceae. The record is from RNAcentral.
GGGGCCUCCAAAUUUUGGUACUUGGUGAAUGCAUCAAAUUAGAACAGCUACAUAGAUCAAUCGCCCUUCUUCCGAAGCUGAUUGUCUUGGAUGUGGGGAAUUGUACCUCUCUUUCUUACCUACCCCGCGGAAUCUCCAAACUCAUCCAUCUUCAAGAAUUGUAUGGCUUCAAGAUACCUAAUCCUAGGGUAUCAAAAGCAUGUCACUUGCGUGACCUAAAGGAUCUUAUAGACCUUCGAGUGUUAACAUUGGAUGUCGUCGAAGAAAGCAUGAUAGAGGAAGACGAACUAACAGCACUGGCACAAUUUCAACAUCUAAGGAUGCUAAUUAUCAAUGCUGGUGAUCGUGACGAUGAGAUUUUCUUAGAGAGGCUGGAGAAGUUUUUACCACCUAAGUCUCUCAAAGAAUUGUACCUAAGGCACUUCCGUGGGCGUACUACACCAGCAUGGAUA